Molecule: unclassified non-coding RNA, 200 nt
Filed under: Pleosporales sp.
Lineage: Eukaryota; Fungi; Ascomycota; Dothideomycetes; Pleosporales
Description: partial internal transcribed spacer 2
Source: RNAcentral
UUAAGUUCAGCGGGUAUCCCUACCUGAUCCGAGGUCAAAAUAUGGUUUUGUUAGCUUCUGGGAGCUGGCGCCCCGGCUCCGAGACCGCGUUUCUGCUGCGCUCGAAGCCAAGGUACCGGCCGCCAAUGCAUUUGAGGCGAGUCCGCGACCCGGGGGGCGGGACAGGACGCCCAACACCAAGCUGAGCUUGAGGGUGUAGA